This 274-nucleotide ribosomal RNA is filed under the name uncultured bacterium. Its description in RNAcentral is "partial 16S ribosomal RNA". It matches the Rfam family "Bacterial small subunit ribosomal RNA", at positions 524 to 796 of the family's 1533-position model. The record is from RNAcentral.
UACGGAGGGUGCGAGCGUUGUCCGGAAUCACUGGGCGUAAAGGGCGCGUAGGUGGCCCGCGCAAGCGUGCGGUGAAAGCCCGGGGCUCAACCCCGGGUCGGCCGUGCGGACUGCGGGGCUGGAGCACUGUAGGGGCGGGUGGAAUUCCGGGUGUAGCGGUGGAAUGCGUAGAGAUCCGGAAGAACACCGGUGGCGAAGGCGGCCCGCUGGGCAGUCGCUGACACUGAGGCGCGACAGCGUGGGGAGCAAACAGGAUUAGAAACCCGUGUAGUCC